AUGAACGCUGGCGGCGUGCCUCAUACAUGCAAGUCGAGCGAACAGACGAGGAGCUUGCUCCUCUGACGUUAGCGGCGGACGGGUGAGUAACACGUGGAUAACCUACCUAUAAGACUGGGAUAACUUCGGGAAACCGGAGCUAAUACCGGAUAAUAUAUUGAACCGCAUGGUUCAAUAGUGAAAGACGGUUUUGCUGUCACUUAUAGAUGGAUCCGCGCCGCAUUAGCUAGUUGGUAAGGUAACGGCUUACCAAGGCAACGAUGCGUAGCCGACCUGAGAGGGUGAUCGGCCACACUGGAACUGAGACACGGUCCAGACUCCUACGGGAGGAAGCAGUAGGGAAUCUUCCGCAAUGGGCGAAAGCCUGACGGAGCAACGCCGCGUGAGUGAUGAAGGUCUUCGGAUCGUAAAACUCUGUUAUUAGGGAAGAACAAAUGUGUAAGUAACUAUGCACGUCUUGACGGUACCUAAUCAGAAAGCCACGGCUAACUACGUG
Molecule: ribosomal RNA, 496 nt
Filed under: uncultured bacterium
Lineage: Bacteria
Description: partial 16S ribosomal RNA
Rfam family: Bacterial small subunit ribosomal RNA
Source: RNAcentral